GUUGCUUUCAUUCCCGGCUUAGGGGUUAGGAGGAUGUGCCUUUAGAACGGAGGCAUCCCAUGUGUCGGUUUGCCAGGUUCGGGGCCUCGGCAAAGGAAUAGAGUUGCUCCGAACCAGAGUCAGUGAAGCAGAGCGCGAGUCUGCAGGGUUGCUCCGCACGGUACGGAAGCCAAGAGCGGUGAGGAGCGGAACAGUAGACGUAGACCUGGAGCCAGCUGCAGUGAGUUGCUCCGAUCGGAUUAUGUCAAUGGAGUUAGGCGACGGAGCUGCUCCACGCACAAGUCGCAGAAGUGCUCCGGGAGAACCCGUGUGACGCUGCUGUAUAGGAGCAGUUUGGAUCUUGACCCGGUCUCCAAGCUUUCCAAAUCUAAGGACGCUAUAUAGAUCUCCAAGGGAGGUCACCCGUGGUGCGACCCAGCCUGCAUCGUCGACGCCGUGGACAAAGGAGCCUUUCCAGUUUGCCAGUAAACAACAAUGCCUGACCUCCAAACGGUGCAGCGUCACUGGAGUAGUGUAGCGUCACUUCAGGUCGAGUAGCGUCCCCCUUAUUAUAAUAUUCCGAUGAUCAUAAUAAACACGCCAGUUCAAAUUCCAGCAUCGGACUGAACAGACCUUGUCCCUGAACAGUAACGGUUGGGCGAAAUUUUUUUUCUGUCUGUAUCUUCGGUACAAUUUGCCUGUACAACCACAUAAUGCCACCAAGAGGUGCGAAGCGGUCCGCGGCCAAGAAGCCGGCUGCUAAGAAGUCUACAACAAAAGCCGGUGGCGUGAAAAAGGCCAAAAAAACCAAGAAGGCGACGGUGGGAAAGAAGAAGGCCGCCAAGUCAGCUGCCAAACCGAAGACCAGCAAGAAAAAGUAGGCUCGUUCCCACAAUCGAACUGCCGGCCGAAUCAGGAACAGCUAGUAUUCGGGUGGAGUGAACCCGAAUCCUGGGCGUGCUUAUCAUGUGUGCUUUGUACUGUUUAUCGUGGGAUGUCAGCAGUUACUCCGAUGUCAACCCCAUUCCCUCAGUGUGCCUGGUCUUCCAAACAUGGCCUUUACCAGCCGUCCUGCACCCGCUCCCCAAACACUCCCUCCCGCUCUACUAUCAUCAAGUGAUCGACGAUCUUGCAGUGACGGUACAACCCAUUCACCGCCAGACGACUGACCGUGAGACUUCCCGAGCUUCAUAGAGCGAGUUGCUCACUGUAUCAGGGCUGGCUUUCGACGUCAUCGUCGCUGAGGAACUGAUUCCAAGAAAUUCUUUUCUAACCUAUAACCACAUCACGCCGGUACAUCUUACAAUCUUAGGUCAGCUUUGACUUGGAGAACAAUGAUCGUAAAGUGGAAGAACGGAUUCUUCACUCACAGCAAGGACUUCGCACAUCAUUUUCAAACACAAUUCUUGCCAGCAGAAACGGACUAGACGUUCACAGAAUCCUUGGAUGACGGACUUGAUCAGAAAUCCCUCCCCAUCACUCGCAGUAGGACUCAUCCGUGGUGAGACUGUAACAAUGGACUUAGAAAAACUAAGUUCCAAACUUAUCGUUGGUUUUAACUGUGUGAGUGAUUAUUUAACACGCAAUUUCACCAAGCACAUUUUGGCAUUGGAAAUGAAGUAUUAUAAAUUAUUGUUUUGUGUGCCCCAUAAAGCAGCCUGCACAGCCACAGUAACUGUGUUUUGUUUACAACGACCGACAUUGCUCUGAUCUGACCUUGAACCACUCGCACGGUAAAUCGGUAAAUUAAAAUUGAAUGGAUGUUGAAAAUGCAGGCUUACGAGAAAACUGGUGUUAGAUUGUAAAGGUUCAUCGCCAACAAUGAUAAGAAAUUGUUUUCAAUUAUCUGAAUUCGAUGUACCAGAUGUUUUGUUGGUGUGUGUACCUGAUCUGGCAGUUGUUCAAGGGAAACACACAUAUUUGAAAUCGAUUUUGCACAUGCUUUCUAGGCAUCAUUUGAAUUACCAGUUUUAUUCGAUUCACAAUGCAGUGCACACGAUUCAUGCCCAGAAUUUGGUGUGUUUUUAUCUUUUUUUGUAUAAACGUUUGCUGUAUACUUGUGUUAAACGUGUUCAAUUUUCGUUUCAAGUCUUGACUCUGUCUUUAAAUCAGGGAAAUAGAGUAUAUAUUUUAGAGUUGGAAAUUAUCUAGUUUGUGGAACUGCAAAACAAAACAACUGUUUGACGUGAAAGAACAUUAUUGGUGAUGCAGUGCUCAUGGAUAAACAAUAGACUUUUUUUAGUUCUUAGUUGUUCUAAUGACAUCUUUCUUUGUGGAGUACGCUCCUCUAAUUUAUGUACUUAGUCAUUUAUUAAAUAGAAAGAAGAGACUGAAAUGUUAUAAACUGUGAAAUUUAAUUAUUCCAAUAUUGUAGCCGUGCACUUAAAAAGUCCUGCAUAUCAUUUGAAUGUUAUCGAAAUACAUGUACAGUAUAUGUACUACCACACUGUAUAAACGUGUGUUAAAACGCCUUUGAUACACGUAACACUUGAUGAACGUGUCGUGGUGUUAAUAAUCCGCAAAAGCUAUACACGUUGCAGUGUUUAUUUUCAAUACAUGUCGAUGUGUUGGGUGUUAAAACGACACAAAACACGUGUAUCGGGCAGUAACUUUUUCUGAACACCAAACCACGUUUAGUUCUUUAAAAAUUGUUUAAUUUUAAACGGUUACAUGUUUACAAUUAUAGCAAAGAAGCGCUUAUAAUAAGUUGAUUUUUACAGUGUAAAUAGACUGCAAAGCAUGUUGGAUGUUCGACCAUUAACUGUGAAAUUCUCCUGACUAUAGCUUCCCUCAAGGACAAGAAACUUUGAGUUCGUAAUUGGUAACAAUUUAUUUCAGAAACUCCUUGAAAUGGUUGAUGAUACGUACCGGUUAAGUAUGGUGCACUUGCUCGGUCAGUGACUUACUGUUAAAAAAAUGUUGGUCAAAUAGUGUUAGGCAUUUGUUAUUUGCCCAACCUUGGUUAAAGUUACCGCAUUGUUGAUUAAUUUCCAUCACUGUUCGCCAAGCAUUGACCAACGAUUGGAAAGAAUUUGUCCAAGGUUUGGGAAUUGAUAUUCACAGCAACAUUCGGCUAAAUAUCAACCCAAAAUUGACCAACAUUUUUACAGUGAUUUUGCCCCUGCACGUGCAAAUACUUGUGCGUGCCUAUUCCCCACAACGUUGCAAAAUUUACCUAUAGGAACUGAACAGCAAGUAUUUUGGGACCGCUUUGGAAAUACGCUUUAAUUUAUCAUAAACUUGAAACUUAGUGAAUUUCUUGUAGUUCAAUAAAAUUAAAGUAUCUGGAAACAAAA
This 3275-nucleotide long non-coding RNA is filed under the name Acanthaster planci (crown-of-thorns starfish). RNAcentral describes it as "uncharacterized LOC110974318". Lineage: Eukaryota; Metazoa; Echinodermata; Asteroidea; Valvatida; Acanthasteridae. The record is from RNAcentral.